This 717-nucleotide transfer RNA is filed under the name uncultured cyanobacterium. RNAcentral describes it as "partial 16S-23S ribosomal RNA intergenic spacer". The stretch from base 210 to 282 matches the Rfam family "tRNA". The record is from RNAcentral. Lineage: Bacteria; Bacillati; Cyanobacteriota.
CAGGGAGACAACAAAAUGUUUAAUAUUAAUUUUGUCACCUUAGGUCGAUCGGUACCUCACAUUCUUAAAUUUAAUUUAAGGAUUUUAUUUCCUAAGUUUUUUCUAGGUCACACCCAUUAUUUUCCUGGGCCAUUAGCUCAGGUGGUUAGAGCGCACCCCUGAUAAGGGUGAGGUCCCUGGUUCAAGUCCAGGAUGGCCCAUUCGGUGUUGGGGGUUUAGCUCAGUUGGUAGAGCGCCUGCUUUGCAAGCAGGAUGUCAGGAGUUCGAGUCUCCUAACCUCCACUGACCGAACUUGAUUCCCAUCUCCAAUUUUUUGGAGUUGAGCUCGAUUGGCGUGUGAUUUAGAUAUGUCCGCUGGAUGACCCCAGCUUCCUGUCAUUCCAAGUUUUAGAUUUUAAGUCUUGAAUUUGGUUGAUAAGAUGCUGGGCUCGGAUCAAAUGAUCAAGCAAUUGAUGAUUUGAUUUGAAGUUCUAGCAGAACCUUGACAACUGCAUAGGUGAGUCUGGAAAAAACAAAGCAUCUUACAGAUGCAUUGUUUUGAAUCUGAUCUUCUGAAAGGGAGAUUGGAUCCAGAACAAUGAAAAUUCUUUUGAGCAAGAGCCGAGACUCUUGAGCGUUCUUUGAUUGGUGUCGAGCUAAUCAGAGUUUGAUCUUGUUUUUAGCAAUAAAAACUUGAGAAUCUGCUUUCAACGGCGGUAAGCGUUCAGGAGGUUAAUU